AAACUAGGAUUAGAUACCCUAUUAUUGAAAGUGUAAAUAAAACAACUAGAUUAUUAAUAGUUAUGAUCUUUAAAUUCAAAGAAUUUGGCGGUAAUUUAUCUAAUCAGAGGAAUCUGUUUUAUAAUCGAUAACCCACGAUAGAUUUCACUUUAUAUAAGUUUGUAUACCUCUGUCAAGAAUGCUUUAUCAGAAUAAUUUUCAUUAAUUUUAUUAAUAAAAUGUCAGGUCAAGGUGCAGCUAAUUUUAAAGAAAGAAUGGAUUACAUUAUUAUAAAAAUGAAUUGUUUUCUAUAAUGAAAAUCAUGAAAUUGGAUUUGAAAGUAAAUUUAUUAAAUAUAGUUU
This 341-nucleotide ribosomal RNA is filed under the name Magicicada septendecula (seventeen-year cicada). RNAcentral's name for it is "partial 12S small subunit ribosomal RNA". Lineage: Eukaryota; Metazoa; Arthropoda; Insecta; Hemiptera; Cicadidae. The record is from RNAcentral.